This 596-nucleotide ribosomal RNA is filed under the name uncultured bacterium. RNAcentral's name for it is "bacterial SSU rRNA". It matches the Rfam family "Bacterial small subunit ribosomal RNA", at positions 338 to 1325 of the family's 1533-position model. The record is from RNAcentral.
CCUACGGGAGGCAGCAGUGGGGAAUAUUGGACAAUGGGCGAAAGCCUGAUCCAGCAAUGCCGCGUGAGUGAUGAAGGCCUUAGGGUUGUAAAGCUCUUUUACCAGGGAUGAUAAUGACAGUACCUGGAGAAUAAGCUCCGGCUAACUCCGUGCCAGCAGCCGCGGUAAUACGGAGGGAGCUAGCGUUGUUCGGAAUUACUGGGCGUAAAGCGUACGUAGGCGGUUAUUCAAGUCAGAGGUGAAAGCCUGGAGCUCAACUCCAGAACUGCCUUUGAAACUAGAUAGCUAGAAUCUUGGAGAGGUGAGUGGAAUUCCGAGUGUAGAGGUGAAAUUCGUAGAUAUUCGGAAGAACACCAGUGGCGAAGGCGACUCACUGGACAAGUAUUGACGCUGAGGUACGAAAGCGUGGGGAGCAAACAGGAUUAGAUACCCUGGUAGUCCACGCCGUAAACGAUGAUAACUAGCUGUUCGGGCUCUACGAGCUUGAGUGGCGCAGCUAACGCAUUAAGUUAUCCGCCUGGGGAGUACGGUCGCAAGNUUAAAACUCAAAGUUAGUUAGUGCGNGNGAGNGCGACGACGACGACGAGGAGGAGGAG